AUUGAACGCUGGCGGCAGGCCUAACACAUGCAAGUCGAGCGGAAACGAGUUAUCUGAACCUUCGGGGGAUGAUAACGACGUCGAGCGGCGGACGGGUGAGUAAUGCCUAGGAAAUUGCCCUGAUGUGGGGGAUAACCAUUGGAAACGAUGGCUAAUACCGCAUGAUGCCUACGGGCCAAAGAGGGGGACCUUCGGGCCUCUCGCGUCAGGAUAUGCCUAGGUGGGAUUAGCUAGUUGGUGAGGUAAGGGCUCACCAAGGCGACGAUCCCUAGCUGGUCUGAGAGGAUGAUCAGCCACACUGGAACUGAGACACGGUCCAGACUCCUACGGGAGGCAGCAGUGGGGAAUAUUGCACAAUGGGCGCAAGCCUGAUGCAGCCAUGCCGCGUGUGUGAAGAAGGCCUUCGGGUUGUAAAGCACUUUCAGUCGUGAGGAAGGUAGUGUAGUUAAUAGCUGCAUUACUUGACGUUAGCGACAGAAGAAGCACCGGCUAACUCCGUGCCAGCAGCCGCGGUAAUACGGAGGGUGCGAGCGUUAAUCGGAGUUACUGGGCGUAAAGCGCAUGCAGGUGGUUUGUUAAGUCAGAUGUGAAAGCCCGGGGCUCAACCUCGGAAUAGCAUUUGAAACUGGCAGACUAGAGUACUGUAGAGGGGGGUAGAAUUUCAGGUGUAGCGGUGAAAUGCGUAGAGAUCUGAAGGAAUACCGGUGGCGAAGGCGGCCCCCUGGA
RNAcentral lists this ribosomal RNA (726 nucleotides) under uncultured Vibrio sp. RNAcentral's name for it is "bacterial SSU rRNA". It matches the Rfam family "Bacterial small subunit ribosomal RNA", at positions 28 to 733 of the family's 1533-position model. Lineage: Bacteria; Pseudomonadati; Pseudomonadota; Gammaproteobacteria; Vibrionales; Vibrionaceae. The record is from RNAcentral.